GAUGAACGCUGGCGGUAUGCUUAACACAUGCAAGUCGAACGGACUCUUCGGAGUUAUUGGCGGACGUGUGAGUAACGCGUGAGAAUCUGGCUUUGGGUUCGGGACACCCACUGGAAACGGUGGCUAAUACCGGAUGUGCCGAGAGGUAAAAGAGAAAUUGCCUGCAGAUGGGCUCGCGUCUGAUUAGCUAGUUGGUGAGGUAAAGGCUCACCAAGGCAGCGAUCAGUAGCUGGUCUGAGAGGAUGACCAGCCACACGGGGACUGAGACACGGCCCAGACUCCUACGGGAGGCAGCAGUGGGGAAUUUUCCGAAAUGGGCGAAAGCCUGACGGAGAAAUACCGCGUGAGGGAAGAAGGCUCGUGGGUUGUAAACCUCUUGUCUGAGGGAAGAACAAAAUGACGGUACCUAAGGAAGCAGCAUCGGCUAACUCCGUG
RNAcentral lists this ribosomal RNA (435 nucleotides) under uncultured bacterium. RNAcentral's name for it is "partial 16S ribosomal RNA". It matches the Rfam family "Bacterial small subunit ribosomal RNA", at positions 28 to 507 of the family's 1533-position model. The record is from RNAcentral.